UACCUACGGGGCGCAGCAGUGAGGAAUAUUGGUCAAUGGGAGAGAUCCUGAACCAGCCAAGCCGCGUGAGGAAAGACGGCCCUAUGGGUUGUAAACCUCUUUUGCCGGGGAGCAACGGGCGCCACGUGUGGCGCCACUGAGAGUACCCGGAGAAAAAGCAUCGGCUAACUCCGUGCCAGCAGCCGCGGUAAUACGGAGGAUGCGAGCGUUAUCCGGAUUUAUUGGGUUUAAAGGGUGCGUAGGCGGAUCGUUAAGUCAGUGGUCAAAUUGAGGGGCUCAACCCCUUCCCGCCAUUGAAACUGGCG
RNAcentral lists this ribosomal RNA (305 nucleotides) under uncultured bacterium. RNAcentral describes it as "bacterial SSU rRNA". It matches the Rfam family "Bacterial small subunit ribosomal RNA", at positions 335 to 638 of the family's 1533-position model. The record is from RNAcentral.